CCCUGGAGCCAGAGAUGGUAUAUGUGCAGGGCCCAGAUCCAUUAACCGAUAUAUCCAUGGUCUCAGAGUUUGUAGGCUUGUAGUCCACAUAAUACUCCUGUAAAGGGGAAUUCAUUUGUCUUUCAGACUCUCUGGCCUUUUUCCGCCGCCUCUUCAUAAGAGAGUGUUGCUGGAGUUGUUUCAUGCUGGCUGGGUAGCGUUUCCAAGACACAUAGAUCACCAAGAGGAUCAUGGCCACUGAGAGAAAGAGAGCCACACUCCCGGCAAUAAUUUUGUGAAAUGAAACAUGCUCAUACUCUGUUUGAAGAUGGUAGGUCUAGGGAUAAUCAGAGGUUUCUGGGGAGUUUGGGGCACCAGGUGUGAUCUUUCUGUGUUGACCACCUGGACUUCAGAACAGAUAUUAUAUGUUUCCACUGCAUCACUAACCUUUUCACCCUGGAUGUGCUUAGGUCCCGCACAUAUCAUGGUGCUUUCCUUAUUUCCUUUGAAAUUCUUAAGCCAAUAAAAUAAAGGACAAAUGCUCCGACUGCAUUCCCACAUAUUUCCAGACAAUGUGAUGGAUAUUAAUGAUAUCCACGCAUUGACAGUUUCCUGUGAGAUAUUGGUGAGCUUGUUGGAAUCCAAAUUCAAUUUUUGUAAAUUGGGGAGGCAUUUAAAUGUGCCCGGCUCAAUUCCUUGGAUGUCAUUCCCUGAUAAAUCCAAGUUGUGUAAGGAACUCCAAGUCCAUGUCAAACCUUGGCUAAUGGAGCGAAUCCUGUUCCAUUGUAAGUAAAUUGAGCGGAGGUUGAAGAGACGUGGAAAAUGAGCAAAGUUGAUCUUGGAAAACUGGUUGUGCUCCAGGUGGAGCUCCUUUAACUUCAAGAGGCCAGCAAAUGCAUUUCGGGACAAGCUUCGAAGACGAUUGUAACCCAAAUCCAAAAAAUCAAGAUUCCGACAGUCUUGAAAAACUCUUAUGGGCACAGUCUUUAGUGAGUUAGAUCUCAAGUGCAAAAUGAUGAGUUUCCGAAGGCCUUUAAAUUGUUCAGAUUGCAAUGUCUGAAGCUUAUUGUAGGAGAGGUCCAGAUUGCGGAGAUUGGGAACUGGGUGAAAUGUUUUAUUGUGCAGAUAAGUAAUUUUGUUGGAGCUUAGAAUUAAUUCUUUCAGUCUACGGAUCCCUUGAAAUGCAUCUUCAUCCACUGAGCUAAUGUAAUUAUGGUCAAGAUAAAGCCAUAUAAGCUGGUUAAGGCCGGCAAACUGAUUGGAUUUGAGCUUCUGAAUGCUGUUGAACCUUAAUGAUAAGCCUUGUGACCCUCCAGAAAUGUUCUCAGGGAUAUCUGCGAAAGCAUGAGACUCACAGUACACAAUUUUGCCAUCACAUCUGCAGUUCUUUGGGCAAGCUCUCUGAGCACCCGUGAGCAUAACAAGCAGCAGUGUAGGAAGUAGCACCAGCACCACACUCAUGCCUUUCAGCUGCGUAAUUAAAUGGAAACCUACG
Molecule: long non-coding RNA, 1474 nt
Filed under: Homo sapiens (human)
Lineage: Eukaryota; Metazoa; Chordata; Mammalia; Primates; Hominidae
Description: HSALNT0034517
Source: RNAcentral